RNAcentral lists this ribosomal RNA (472 nucleotides) under uncultured bacterium. RNAcentral describes it as "bacterial SSU rRNA". It matches the Rfam family "Bacterial small subunit ribosomal RNA", at positions 15 to 518 of the family's 1533-position model. The record is from RNAcentral.
GAUCAUGGCUCAGAACGAACGCUGGCGGCACGCUUAACACAUGCAAGUCGAACGGUGCAAUGGGGCUUGCCCUAUGCAUAGUGGCGGACGGGUGAGUAACACGUAGGAACCUACCUGGUAAUGGUGGAUAGCUUCGGGAAACUGGAGGUAAUACAGCAUGAGCUCGAGAGAGGAAAGGCCAUAAGGUCGUUACCAGAGGGGCCUGCGGAUGAUUAGGUAGUUGGUGGGGUAAAGGCCUACCAAGCCGACGAUCAAUAGCUGGUCUGAGAGGAUGAUCAGCCACACUGGAACUGAGAUACGGUCCAGACUCCUACGGGAGGCAGCAGUGGGGAAUAUUGGACAAUGGGGGGAACCCUGAUCCAGCGAUGCCGCGUGAGUGAAGAAGGCCUUAGGGUUGUAAAGCUCUUUUGAUAGGGACGAUGAUGACGGUACCUAUAGAAUAAGCACCGGCUAACUCUGUGCCAGCAGCAGC